CUUUCCAGGCCUGGUGUCAGCCCCAGUUCCCUCUCAGCACUUCUCAGCACUGCACCCUGGCAGCCGUCAUCAGCGACGCACAGUUAUACACCAGCAGGGUCUUUUGUGAAGUUCCUUUGCACCAAGCCAAGAGCGUUUCCUAACACAGAGUGUGGCCUUGCAUUUGUCUUCGGCAGAGCCAAGCAUUUCUGCCACAUCACAAAUAGGUCGGAGACCUCUGGUGCAGGCCGGAUUAAAAGCCUGGAGACAGCCCACCGCUGCCAUUUCUCACAAAGUGGUUUGGACCACUCCCAAAGGACUCUGGUUGCAAGGCCAAUUUUGUGAUCUGAGUUGUCAUAUGAUAUUGUAUCUAUUGUCGUGUUUGUUAUUUACUGUUGGUCCUUAUUAAGAUCACUGUUAUUAUCCACAGCAGCAAUGUGCCCCAAGCUAUGUAAGAGGUAUUAUAAUGUGUCCAAACAACAAAAGCUCUCAACGGGGAACUUCCAGAUGAAAGACAUAGGACUGCACAGGCCAAAACAAUGGGGACGGAUGCAGGGUAGUCAUACACAGAGGGUUAGGUGAUUACUGCAAGAGGAAGUGCUUUGAAGAACAGGUGGGUAUGAGGAGGUUUUUGAAAGUGGAGAAGGAUGUUAUGUUAUUGCAAACAUGUUAUUGUUUGAGCUUAGUGGAUAAUUCAACAACAUUAAAAAAAAAUAGAAAGGCACGAUUGGUCCUAAAACUCUAAGACGAACUGAAAGACACAGAAAGCAUGUAGGAGAGACAACGGUUUCAUUGCAGUUGGUUUAAAUACCAAAUGGUAAGGAAAGACUUGGCCAGUACUUACCUUUGAUUGUAAUGCAUGGGUCAAAUAUCAGCUCGCCUCUGCUCAAUUAGUGGUCCUGCCAGUGUCCGUGUGGGAUCCUUGAGCUCAUGCCUCUGCAUCAGUAGGGUAUUCUGGGACCCUCGAGAGGCCCCUAGAAACAGAAAUAUUAGCUGAGUUUCUGGAGAUGAGGCCCUGGAAUGAGCUGAGGUGGCGCUGUAUCUUGGUGUAAGUGAGCUAAUUUUCCUGAACUAUUUCUGGGCUGUGUUUUGAAAACAGGAAUUGAACAUAGAUGAUGACCUGAGAUCAUGACAAAUAUUCAGAUUUCAUACCAAAUUCAGCAGGUCAUGCCCACCGCAGCCCCAGGGUGACUGCCAGGUAGACGCA
Molecule: long non-coding RNA, 1186 nt
Filed under: Macaca mulatta (Rhesus monkey)
Lineage: Eukaryota; Metazoa; Chordata; Mammalia; Primates; Cercopithecidae
Description: lncRNA (ENSMMUG00000052886.1)
Source: RNAcentral